This 640-nucleotide ribosomal RNA is filed under the name archaeon. Its description in RNAcentral is "bacterial SSU rRNA". It matches the Rfam family "Archaeal small subunit ribosomal RNA", at positions 248 to 889 of the family's 1478-position model. The record is from RNAcentral.
ACCCACUAGCCAAUGACGGGUAUGGGCCUUGAGAGAGGGAGCCCAGAGAUGGAUUCUGAGACACGAAUCCAGGCCCUACGGGGCGCAGCAGUCGCGAAAACUUCACAAUGGGGGCAACCCCGAUGAGGGAAUUCCUAGUGCUAGCACAUUAGUGUUAGCUUUUCUUUAGCGUAGAUAACUAGAGGAAUAAGGGCUGGGUAAGACGGGUGCCAGCCGCCGCGGUAAUACCCGCAGCCCAAGUGGUGGUCGAUUUUAUUGAGUCUAAAACGUUCGUAGCCGGUUUGAUAAAUCUUUGGGUAAAUCGGAAAGCUUAACUUUCCGACUUCCGAGGAGACUGUCAAACUUGGGACCGGGAGAGGCAAGAGGUACUUGGGGGGUAGGGGUAAAAUCCUGUAAUCCUUCAAGGACCACCGGUGGCGAAGGCGUCUUGCUAGAACGGAUCCGACGGUGAGGGACGAAGCCCUGGGUCGCAAACGGGAUUAGAUACCCCGGUAGUCCAGGGUGUAAACGCUGCAGACUUGGUGUUGGGGACCCUUUGGGGGUGUUCAGUGCCGGAGAGAAGUUGUUAAGUCUGCUACUUGGGGAGUACGUCCGCAAGGAUGAAACUUAAAGGAAUUGGCGGGGGAGCACCGCAACGGGA